ACUACUCAUGAUGACAUGCACAAGUCAGACGAGGAUUUUAUCUAAUUAUGUCUUCCACUAUUUUAACAAAUUUCAUAGCCCUCAAGUAUGAAAUUGAGAAACCUUAUCAUAAAGUUUCUUAGUGAGGUUGAGACUCCAAUUCCUCUUAAGAAGCCUUGUGGAUAGCACAAUAAGCUUCUAUAAGUUCAAAGGUAAGUAACUCUUUACUAAUUACAUCUCAUACAACUCUCAACAUAACUUUUGUCUCUAAAAUACUUAUAGCCUUAUGGAUAGAACAACAAACUAUAGUAUUUUAGUUAAGUCAUACCCUUCAAUUCUAUAUAGUCAUACC
This 331-nucleotide long non-coding RNA is filed under the name Elaeis guineensis (African oil palm). RNAcentral's name for it is "long non-coding RNA (EGUI_LNC078045)". Lineage: Eukaryota; Viridiplantae; Streptophyta; Magnoliopsida; Arecales; Arecaceae. The record is from RNAcentral.